AGAAAAAAAAGUGUGAAUUUACACGGCACUGAAUUGUUGUUUUAAACGUAAACAUGCUCAAUGUAAAUUUGAAAUUCACUUUAAAAAGUUGUAUCGCAUUUAAACAGCCUUAAUGUAAAAUGAGAUUGAAUGUAAUGCAUGUAUGUCAUGUAAACCGGUUUGAUUUUGCUGUCAAAUGGAUAAUUUUAAUUCAUGAAAGUCAUGUAAAUGAUAAUUUCAUGUAAAACUUACUUAACGUAAAUGUUGGAGACACAUAAAUUUAAUUGUUGCUGUUUGUUUCAUUCAAUGACAGUUCAUUAUUGUUGUCGAUUGCGGGUGAAGUUGCGGGAGUGUUUUGUUGACAAAUGUUGAUGUUUUAAGGUAUGUUCAAGUAUUUAGUGAUCACUUACGAUGCUCAAGUACAAUUCUCGAUAUUUUUAAUAAAGGUUUCCUCAAGUUGGUUUCGUAAGGGCCGAAAAGCGAUAAAUUCCAAAGCAAAACAACACUCCGCUGGAAUUGGACGAAAUGUUUAGAAUUCAAAUGUAAACAACGGAAGCACCAGUUCAUUUCUCAGUCCAGUCGAUGUCACCCGGCAUGUUUUUGCCGGAAGCGAAUCUGUCCGGAAGUCUCCUAUUCAGGCAGGUUUACCAAGUAAGUUAAAUUAAAUGAUAACAAAUAUACAGAUACCAUUAACAUAACUUAAUUUGAUUACCAGGUACGAGGAGGACAUUCAAAUUCCCGUUCAGUGAUGAAACCUUUCCUCGUAUAAGUUAAUAAUUUUCAAAAAUUCCGUCUCCAGUGUUAAAAAAUGCUGAUUCACACUAUUUCUUCCGGAAGCCAAUCGUGGACCCGAAUUUCUCAUAUUAUCACCCUGCGAUUAAACGUUACUCCAUCGCCCACAUCUUACCGAAUAAUCUGUUGUUAGAACUCGAUCGUCCCACGGAUACGUGCCCCUCCUCCAGCGAUUGUCCCUGAAUCUGCUGAUCUGUUUUCCGCCACAUACUGAGAUCGUUGAUGGCCAUAAUCUGGAUCAAGCACCGCGCAGUCAACCUGACGAAUGGCAAAUAUCGUCAACCUUGACCUCCUGCAGCCUGAAGGUGCUUCCAGAACUUCUGCUUCCGGCUGGGCAUGUCGCUUUCAUCCGGCGUCGGAAAUGAAUCUUUCUCAAAAGGAACAGUUUCCGAUUUCGGUUCCUCCAAACUUGUUGUCCUGCAUUUGUUUGGUUCGCACACAUUUCCGUAUCGUUUCUCGUUUUGGGACAACCGCUUCGGUAACUAUAAUUUUUUGUUGUUUGAUUUACAGUUUACAGGUGACAGUUAUCUCAACAGAAACCAUUCGUGACGAACACUUCAAAAAGCCGUAAGCGUAACGUAAAAAACAGUCUGUCUCACUCUCACACACUCAUUCAAAUGGUCGAGACAUUCGGUGCGAACGAGAUAAACAAUGUACAACACUGAGCAGUGCCUAUUUGGAAUGUUUGUCGCGCAUUUUCAGGAUGACAAUAGCGCAAGGUGUGAACUUAUAAAGGUAUAUGUAGUAAGCUGUCGGAGUUGCAAACCAUUUUGGAUUAGGGUGAUCUAAAUAAAUAUUUUAAGAUCUUUCAAAAAUCGUGCAAAGUGGUUUUGGCAACAACCAUUUAUUAAAUUUAUUGAAAAUCGAUUUUUAAUGUUUGUCAUUACAGUAAAUAUUCAUAAAACUUUUUUUUAAAUUGGGUCCUAAAAUGAAGUUUAAAUUUGUGAUAUUAUUGCUCAUAACGAUAAAGCUUAUUUUUCUGAGUACAAUGACCCUUUGUACGACCACAAAGAGUUUAAAAUGGAUUUUUAAAUCAAUUUUGAAAAAUUAACCUCACGGUCCUUCUUGACAGAAAAGCUCCUAUUUGACAGCUCGUUCCAAGGGGACCAUAGUUGAUCCAUCGAAAUAAUGUUGUCUUGUCAAAAAAAAAAUUUUGCUUUAAAAUGAAAAAAAGUAAUCAGAAAUGGUUUUUAAUCGUGUUUUUUACCGUUGUACAUAAAAAUUGACAUAGGGCUUUAGUACCCAAUUACUUAUUAGAUUCAUGUUUAUUACAAGCCUGUGGUUUUUUCAAUGACUUUUUUUGAUUGAGUUAUUCAAUGUUAUGCGUUAGCGAUUGUCCAUACAAAUUCUUGUAUGGCCAAUUUUCCACGACGGGGAGGGGGGUUUAGAAUUUCAAAAUAGCGAAUAUAAGACCAUUGUUUUUGUAUUGAAAAUUUACUGGAGUAUUUUUAAAUGUCCAAAUAAUCAAUUUUUAUUUUUUGGUUUUUGGAUGUUUUGUAGCUUGGAUCCAAAAAACUAAAUUUUUAUAUACCGGAUUUUGAGUGUUCUUGAAUAUCCCUAACACAAGACAGUUUCAAAAACACCCAAAAUAUAAAAAAUAUAUAAUUUUAUUUAUUUGACCAUUUAAAACCAAAAAAUACUCCAGUUUUGCAGUGUCAUAUAAAAAAUGUCAAUAGGGUUUUAAAAUUCCUAUGUUAUGUUUUAUGUAUAGCGAUAAUAGACACGCCUGAAAACAAUUUGUGAUCACUUUAUUAUGUAAAUACAAGAAAUUAAAUUUCACAAGAUGCCAUUUAACGCUGGAUCAACCAUGAAAUGAGUCAUUGUGCUCAGAAAAAUAAGCUUUAUCAAAAUGAAAACAAGAAAAUUCGCAACUUUAAAAAUCGUGUUUCAAAAAGUUAAAAAAAACUCAAGAUAGGGGAACAGCAUCUAACUCAAUCAUGCCUAUAAUGUUGACAAAUUAGCACUUUGAUGUUUAAUUGCAACUAAUAAAAAGCGAUUUCAACUUAAACCGAUUGAUAAAUAGCUCAAUCGAGAAAUUAAAAGUGAGAGUGUGUGCAACAUGGAGUUAAACUUUCUGUGAAGCUGCCGUGAAGAUUACCAUGGCACUUUGAAAAGUUUAACUCCAUGUUGCACGCACACACUCUCACUUUUAAUUUCUCGAUAGGAUGUGAGCAAGUAAAUUUCUAUCAACAGUUUUACAAAAUUAGUUGUAUAAAUAGUGAAAAUCAGCAAAUUGGAUGGAGUUAGGAACGAGAGUUUAACUUGCCAAACAUACGGGAAUUUCCCCUUUAUGAUAAAAUCAGUAAUUGAAACUCGAAUUGAAACUUAAUUUUAGGACCCAAUUACAAAAUAAUUACUACCAACAAAAGUCUGCAAAGGAAUGUUGUCUGCAUCUGACUCCGACAAGAACUCCGACAUUUCAUCACCUGCUUGCCCAACCUGUUUUCCAAAUCAUUGAAACAAAAUGACAGUUUUGACUUCUCUUGCAAACCCUUAAAUGUAAACAUCAAAGGACCAAGCGAGUUGUUUUUGUUUCAUGGAAAAGUAAGUAUUUGAAUUUUGUUAUUAAAUAGUUUAUUUUCUAUGAAAAUACAUUUUGAAAUCAUUUUUACUUUACAGAGUAUGUUCAACUCAAUCAGCUGGUCAAGGACAACAUCCGUAAGUUCGUUACUGCUUCAAGUUUGGUCUUCUUUCUAACAAAACGCAAAAGCAGAUCGACCAGGAAGAGUUUUAUUUUUUUAAAUCCGCGAUGCCAAGAUCGUAUUUGUUUGAACUAAAUUUACGAUAUGAAGGUCAAGGAAAAUUGUGGCAAGAAAUCACUCAUGUCAGUUGCUGGGAAUCACCGCGCUGCUGGAAACCGACCCAGGAUCUGCUGCACAGCCGGUGCUCCUUUCUACGAAUGAGUUCUUUAUGAAAAUUUUCCCUUGGGACCAAAUGUUAACCGAUGACAGCCGAAAUGGAUCAAGUACAACAUAGGUCAAGUAAGUUUAGCAACAUAGUUUUUAAACAGAAACUAGUCAAACUCGACCGCUGAGAGUAAGUUUUACUAGCUCGGUCAGUCAUAAUCCGAAGAUAUACAAAUGUUUACCCCCAGGAAUGGGUUUUCAAUCCAGAGGUCAUGAAAUCGAUUUCGGGUUUAUGUUUAUUCAAUUUCCAAACGCUCAGUGAGUCAGUUUCUUUCAACUAUCUUCAUUUCAUUCAUUCAUUUAGUAUAACUCCGUUGAAUUUAGAAUCUGAUACAAAUUUUCAAACACUUUAAGUGCCCUGCAGUCUUUGAAUCUUUCUUUCCAAACAAAAGCAUUUUUUAUCCGUAACUUGGUUUUUUAAAACGGCCAAUGUGCCACAUGUACAAAUUCAGUACAUCCCGCUCACUUUAAUUUGUGUUUAGAAGGUGUGAGCAAGAUGAAGUUUACAUGUGGCGCAUUGAACUUUUUUUAAACAAUAAAACCAAUCGGUGCUUUGAUUAGAAAGAAAAUAAUAGAUUACUGCACACGGGUACACAAGCAUUUGAAAAUUACAUCGGAUUCUAGAUUCAACGGGGGAA
Molecule: long non-coding RNA, 4315 nt
Organism: Culex pipiens pallens (northern house mosquito)
Lineage: Eukaryota; Metazoa; Arthropoda; Insecta; Diptera; Culicidae
Exons: 2
Source: RefSeq, a predicted model, not a curated record